RNAcentral lists this ribosomal RNA (1126 nucleotides) under Shigella flexneri. Its description in RNAcentral is "bacterial SSU rRNA". It matches the Rfam family "Bacterial small subunit ribosomal RNA", at positions 114 to 1237 of the family's 1533-position model. The record is from RNAcentral. Lineage: Bacteria; Pseudomonadati; Pseudomonadota; Gammaproteobacteria; Enterobacterales; Enterobacteriaceae.
UGUCUGGGAAACUGCCUGAUGGAGGGGGAUAACUACUGGAAACGGUAGCUAAUACCGCAUAAUGUCGCAAGACCAAAGAGGGGGACCUUCGGGCCUCUUGCCAUCGGAUGUGCCCAGAUGGGAUUAGCUUGUUGGUGGGGUAACGGCUCACCAAGGCGACGAUCCCUAGCUGGUCUGAGAGGAUGACCAGCCACACUGGAACUGAGACACGGUCCAGACUCCUACGGGAGGCAGCAGUGGGGAAUAUUGCACAAUGGGCGCAAGCCUGAUGCAGCCAUGCCGCGUGUAUGAAGAAGGCCUUCGGGUUGUAAAGUACUUUCAGCGGGGAGGAAGGGAGUAAAGUUAAUACCUUUGCUCAUUGACGUUAUCCGCAGAAGAAGCACCGGCUAACUCCGUGCCAGCAGCCGCGGUAAUACGGAGGGUGCAAGCGUUAAUCGGAAUUACUGGGCGUAAAGCGCACGCAGGCGGUUUGUUAAGUCAGAUGUGAAAUCCCCGGGCUCAACCUGGGAACUGCAUCUGAUACUGGCAAGCUUGAGUCUCGUAGAGGGGGGUAGAAUUCCAGGUGUAGCGGUGAAAUGCGUAGAGAUCUGGAGGAAUACCGGUGGCGAAGGCGGCCCCCUGGACGAAGACUGACGCUCAGGUGCGAAAGCGUGGGGAGCAAACAGGAUUAGAUACCCUGGUAGUCCACGCCGUAAACGAUGUCGACUUGGAGGUUGUGCCCUUGAGGCGUGGCUUCCGGAGCUAACGCGUUAAGUCGACCGCCUGGGGAGUACGGCCGCAAGGUUAAAACUCAAAUGAAUUGACGGGGGCCCGCACAAGCGGUGGAGCAUGUGGUUUAAUUCGAUGCAACGCGAAGAACCUUACCUGGUCUUGACAUCCACGGAAGUUUUCAGAGAUGAGAAUGUGCCUUCGGGAACCGUGAGACAGGUGCUGCAUGGCUGUCGUCAGCUCGUGUUGUGAAAUGUUGGGUUAAGUCCCGCAACGAGCGCAACCCUUAUCCUUUGUUGCCAGCGGUCCGGCCGGGAACUCAAAGGAGACUGCCAGUGAUAAACUGGAGGAAGGUGGGGACGACGUCAAGUCAUCAUGGCCCUUACGACCAGGGCUACACACGUGCUACAAUGGCGCA